This 2255-nucleotide ribosomal RNA is filed under the name Triticum aestivum (bread wheat). RNAcentral's name for it is "partial small subunit ribosomal RNA". The record is from RNAcentral. Lineage: Eukaryota; Viridiplantae; Streptophyta; Magnoliopsida; Poales; Poaceae.
GCGGGAGGGAGGCGGCGGAAGGGGUCGGGAGCGGGGAAGGGGAAGCGGCUGGCGGGCGAAGGGGCUGGCGGAGGAAGUGGAAGCGGCUGGCGGCUGGCGGGAGCAGGGGAAGGGGUGGCGGAGGAAGCGGCUGGCGGCUGGCGGCUGGCGGCUGGCGGGGGAAGGCGAAGAGGCUGGGGGCGGGGGCGGGGGCGCGGUUGCCUGCAGAUCCCAAAGAGUCCUUUUCUUUCCGCGCCCCUUUACCACCACCCGUCUCGUCGCCCGCCUCGUUGCCCCCCGCCCUUCUUCUUCCUGUUCAAGCGACCACCGCCACGCAGGAGAAGAGAUUGGGCCCUCCUCGCUCUUCUGUACGAUCUACGAAAUUAACUCUUCCUUCAAGUCUUCUCCUACUUGUUUAAAUUCCCCUUCUCAGCCCUGUUCAAACUCGAGAGCCAUCUUCUACGUCCCGACGCUAACUUCUAACGGUUUCUCCUCGUCUGUAGUGAAAGCUGGAAUGGGUCUAAACUCGAACUGUAGCUGACACUAUAAAACCUCAUGUAAUUAGAAGACUUUCUAUCUUACAAAGUAGUGACUUGUGCACCCAGCAUAACGAAACCGCCACCUCAGCACCGGUGGGGUGGUUACCCGCUACUACUCUGUAAGUUGUACUAACUUAAGUACUUCUGUUGGGUUGCUCCGAGAUUCGCAAGACAAUACGUCACGUAAAAAACACUAUUACUAGAAAUGAUAGUUAACAAAUCUCGUUGAGGACUCUUCCUGCUUCUGUCCAUAUGAUUCCCCUUGAAAAUGUCUGAACCACCACGAUUUUCCCAUAAGGGCCUCUCGAAUAAACCUCUCGAAUUUCUAGAACUUCCUCGGGGACUCAGGAUAGUACUACAACUCGUCUAACGCCACAUGCGUUUACAUAAGUCCUUCUACCAACUCUUUCAGUUCUUCGAGUUUUUUCUUUGCCGAUUCUUCAAACUAGGACUAGCAAACGGGGAACACGUCGAAGGUUAGCAACGACAUACGCUCAGACUUUCCAAAGGUCGUCAUGAUUCCAAGUGCUGACCAUUGAAAAUGUCGAGUUGUGGCGUCGUGCAUUGAUCGUGCGAAGCCCUUGAACAUGUAUUGACCCCCUCCAACAGGUUCAACCGAAAGAACUACUAAGACCGACAGUAACUCAAACUGCACCCUACGAUGCUAACGUCUUUCUCGAAGUUGCUUCGAUCUCGAUUAAACGUGUUGUGGCACUCCCGCCAUAGAUGUGAACUUGAACUGAAGUCUCCAGGACUACCCGUAAAGUCGGACUUUUUCGACGACCCGCACCCGCCGACACAAGUACAGGAGUUCAAACUCAAACUACUACACUAGGCAUAAUAGUACUCCCGGUCUGUACUACGUGCUCCACGUUAGUCUCUCUAAGCUCGUUUUGACCUAUAGAGAUGUCGACCUCGACUACACCUCGAACGACCUCGACUACGGUUCUUCCACUAUAGAAGUGUACUCGCUUUUCUUCGAGUCUGGUCCCUCGAACGACCUCAAGCACGACUUCGACUACGACGACGAUCUCGACUACACUUCUUCUGCGUUCGCUUCCACAGUCAGAACUGGUCCCUCGAACGACCUCAAGCACGACUUCGACUACUACGACGAUCUCGACUACACUUCUUCUGCGUUCGCUUCCACAGUCAGAACUGUGGAAGUCUACCUCGACUACACUUACUCAACGUUUGCUUCCACGGUCAGGGCUGUUGUAGCGCUAGAAACCAACUCGAACGACCUCGACUACGGUUCUUCCACUAUAGAAGCGUACUCGCUUUUCUUCGAGUCUGGUCCCGCCACGGUGGACUACUUCAACUCACCCGUUCCACCGUCUUCACAUCCGCACGUCCAGAUUUCCAGUACCUGGAUGAGUACCUUACUUCUACAGACAAGAAGUACACGAUUGGACAGGCGAUUCUACGACAAAAGCGCAACCACUAAAGUCUUGAAGAGGUGACUUCCACUACCUACAUUUCAACACGUUACCGGCUACCGACUAUACACAUUAACAGGUAAGAGAGCCCAAAUCUUAUCAGUUAACUGAACUCAUACACCACACGUCAAGAACUACGACGAACUACAAUUACGUAUGGCCACUAAAAGGUGAACGUGUGACUUUAAAAGUCGAUACUAAGUGGUUGGAAACAUGUACAUAUACGUCGACUCUUUGAAUUAAACUCUUACAUAAGAACUACGAAUGAAGUCCGAGAGGAACAAUUACCCAUCGCGUG